AGGGACAAACCUCAGUCGCAGAACAUCUGCUUGGCAAGCAAAUGUCCCAGGUUCAAUCCCUGGUGUCUCCA
Molecule: non-coding RNA, 71 nt
Organism: Podarcis lilfordi (Lilford's wall lizard)
Lineage: Eukaryota; Metazoa; Chordata; Lepidosauria; Squamata; Lacertidae
Source: the annotation of a GenBank genome assembly